Molecule: long non-coding RNA, 821 nt
Filed under: Strigops habroptila (Kakapo)
Lineage: Eukaryota; Metazoa; Chordata; Aves; Psittaciformes; Psittacidae
Description: lncRNA (ENSSHBG00005003703.1)
Source: RNAcentral
GCGCAGGCGGCGGCGGCGGUGGCGGCCGUGGUUGGAGUCCUGCGCCCGGCGCCCGCUGGCCGCCGGAACGCGACCGCCUGAGCUGAGCGGCGGCCGGCCGCGGUGGUGCUCGCGGGAGAGAGUUCUGAUGUGUUUUGCUGGAAGUUCAGAAGCUCAGACACAGCCUGUGUGGUGAAAGCCUCUGAGCAUGAGAAAGAUGUGUAGGAAAGAGUUAAAAAGUACUGAGUGCUCAGCUGUCCUGCAAUGGCCUUCAUGAGGAAAGAAUGUAACAAACAGAAAUCUUCAGUGAAGUGAUAAAAUUCCUUCAUGUUUGACCCAGUGCCCUUGAAAAUACUAGAAUCAGAAAGUUUUAUGUACGGAAAUAUCAAAAUCUCCUUGAGCAAACUGAAAAACACAGACACGCUUAAUGCUUUAUCAGUGCUGUCGAUAGAAAACGAACUAGUAAAUUUCCUCCCAGACCUUUAGCACCACAGCCACUGGGGAUUUUUGCAAGGCUGAAGAGAAGAACUGUUGGAACCAGCCUGAGACCAAUGGCAGUCUAUGCAAGACUACUCCAUAAGAAACAAAAAUUUGUUCAAAAGACUGAAUAUUGAGCUUACAUGCAGUUAACAGGAAAUGCUUUUAACUGUAUUGGGGCAGUAUCUGGUAAUGUUUGUAUAGGGAAAAACAUAAAGAUUUAUAAUGUUUCUGUUCUUAGAAUUUCUAUCUUCGCUAAGCUAUAGAAGCAGUUGCUUCUGUUUGACAGCUCUGACUCCCUCCGUGUUGUUUUUGGUUCAGUCCACCCCUUUGGAAUAAAUAAAAUGUAUGAGCUAUUAAGUGGA